Ochotona princeps (American pika) is the source of this 408-nucleotide long non-coding RNA. RefSeq lists it as uncharacterized. NCBI's taxonomy places the organism in Eukaryota, Metazoa, Chordata, Mammalia, Lagomorpha, Ochotonidae. The transcript has 3 exons. The record is from RefSeq and is a predicted model, not a curated record.
CUCAGGUCUUCGCUGGCCUCACCUCAAACAGCAGCACUGCCUGCUCCCGAUUUUGCUUGAUCCUGUGCAGUUCCAGUUCUGCCCGGGUCAGUAUCGAUGGCUCAGGUAGCAGUGAGCAAAGUGUGAUUGCAGCUCAGACAGCUUGUUUCCAGAGCCUGCAGCAUCUGUAGCACUCAGCUCUUCUGAAACCCUGCAAGGUGAUCUAUUACAACUCACUUCCAAAUGGACCAGAAGAAACCAUUGGAAACCUUCCAGCAUCUCAAGAAAGAGAGGCAGCCUCAAAAAGUUGAAAACUGCUGCACAAGGGCUCAAUGCCACUGAAAUUAUCACAUAAUUUACAAACACAGGAAGGCCAAGAAUAUUCCAGCAUUUACCAGUUCUCUCCUAAGGACCCAGGGGAACUACCGU